This 497-nucleotide ribosomal RNA is filed under the name uncultured bacterium. Its description in RNAcentral is "partial 16S ribosomal RNA". It matches the Rfam family "Bacterial small subunit ribosomal RNA", at positions 28 to 507 of the family's 1533-position model. The record is from RNAcentral.
GAUGAACGCUGGCUGCGUUUCUAAUACAUGCAAGUCGAGCGAACAUAUUAGUCGCUUUCUCCUCUGACGUUAGCGGCUUACGGGUGAGUAACACGUUGAUAACCUACCUAUAAGACUGGGAUAACUUCGGGAAACCGGAGCUAAUACCGGAUAAUAUAUUGAACCGCAUGGUUCAAUAGUGAAAGACGGUUUUGCUGUCACUUAUAGCUGGAUCCGCGCCGCAUUAGCUAGUUGGUAAGGUAACGGCUUACCAAGGCAACGAUGCGUAGCCGACCUGGGAGGGUGAUCGGCCACACUGGAAUUGAGACACGGUCCGGACUGAGACGGGAGUCAGCAGUAGGGGAUAGUCCGCAAUGCGCGAAAGAAUGGCGGAGGAACGCCGAGUGAGGGAUGAAGGUCUUGGGAUCAUAACACACUGUUAUUAGGGAAGAAAAAAUGUGUAAGUAACUAUGCACGUCUGGACGGUCCCUAAUUAGACAGGCAAGAACAACCACGUG